GCCGCUUGCCGCACCCCCGAGCCUGAGCCCGUCUACCUCGUGGCUGCCUGAGGCCCGGGGUGGUUAUGAAGAUAAAAUGCAAUAAAUGUGUGUGAGGGCAACUGACGAGCCAGGAAGCCUUGGCAUCCAGAGUUAUUACUGGGACGUCAUGGGAAAUGAGGAUAUGGGAACAGAGUAUUUAUGCAUUUAUUCAAACUCAUCUCUAACAACCGUGCUUUGAAGGCUGGCUGCAUCCCAGGCCCUACAGAUCUAGGCUGGCUGGGGCGGUGGCUCAUGCCUGUAAUCCCAGCACUUUGAGAGGCCGAGACCGGUGGAUCACGAGAUCAUCAGGAGAUGAGACCAUCCUGGCUAACAUGUUAGCCUGGCCUCCAGAGCUCUUGGACUGCAGCACCCAUAAUGAUGGCCAAAGCCGCCCCCACGGCGACUCCUCCUGCUGAAGCAAAGUCAGGCAGAACAAUAAGAUGAGCAUGGUGGUGCAGGCCUGUAAUCUCAGCUCCUCAGGCGGGAGGAUCACUUGAUCCCCGGAAGUUUGAAGCUGGACUGCGCUGACCGCACCUGUGAAUACCACUGCCCGUCAAUCAGCCUAGGGGAAACAUUCUCGAGUGCGAGCAUGACGGCUUAGGUUGAUGUUUUUCAAAUUUUCCCAAUGAUGAGUAUUGUAAGGGACCAAAAUAAAAAAAUGCCAAUGCCUAGUCCCCUCUCAUCUAGAAUAAUUCCAUAGGUGAUGAUGGGGUCCAGGACUCUGAAUUUCGUCAAUUUUACCAAAUACUUCGUCCAGUGAGGCAAAUAUGGAAACACUUGGAUCACCUCUUCGUGAACGCACAUCAGCGCAUACGCCGGCUGUUUUUAUCAGGCGCUCACCCCUCAUCCAAUGGCGUGACUAGUUGUGGGUGGAGCCCGAAAUCUGGCUGCCUAGAGAAGGCUGAAGGUCCAGUUAUAGCAUAACUAAUGUUUCCCCAGAGCUCACAUACGUGCCAAGCACCGUGCUACAGCCUCCACAGCCCCUUCAUUUAAUCUUCCCGAUGGGCCUAUGAAAUAGGUGCUCCUGGCCCGCACCGUGGCUCAUGCCUCUAAUCCCAGCACUUUGGGAAGCUGAGGAGGGAGGGUCGCUUGAGUCCAGGAUUUCAAGACCAGCCUGGGAAACACACAGAGAGCCUAUCUCUACGAAAAUUUAAAAAAUUAGCCGGGUGUGGUGAUGCCUGACUGUGGUCCCACCUACUUAGUAGGCUAAGGUGGGAGGAUCCUCUGAGCCCGGGAAGCUGAGGCUGCAGUUAGCACUGCACUCCAGCAUGGGCGACAGAGUGAGACCCUGACUCAAAAAAAAAAAAAAAAAAGAAUAGGUGCUACUUGUAGUUCCCAUUUUACCCACCAAGAAACUGAAGAUCUGAGAGACAAAGCCUACAGGGUGACCGCUAGUCACUGGUAGGGCUGGGAUUUGAACAGGGGCGGUUUAACAACUGAUCUCUCGACCAUAAUGCGUGUUGCCCAAGAAAAAAGACCGUCCUCACGGUCCUAUCCACUCCGGACUUUGCAAUUCCGUUAUUUCGUAAAUUGAGGCCUAUAAAUAGUUUGCUUACCCGUUGUCUUAGUCCCCAGUAACAUGCAGAACUAAAGAAGAAACUGAAGGAGCACCGAUUUUGUUCACCUUGCUUUUUGGUUUAGUUCUGGAGGAGAACACAGGUGCACUUAGAACAGGAUCCACACUUACCAGAGGCUUGAUUCAUUUUAGCUGCAAAGAAAACCAGUCCUCGUCUAC
This 1756-nucleotide long non-coding RNA is filed under the name Homo sapiens (human). RNAcentral describes it as "non-protein coding lnc-ANKRD11-1:8". Lineage: Eukaryota; Metazoa; Chordata; Mammalia; Primates; Hominidae. The record is from RNAcentral.